This is a long non-coding RNA of Molossus molossus (Pallas's mastiff bat), 589 nucleotides long. RefSeq lists it as uncharacterized. Lineage: Eukaryota; Metazoa; Chordata; Mammalia; Chiroptera; Molossidae. The transcript has 3 exons. The record is from RefSeq and is a predicted model, not a curated record.
CUAAAUGUUUGGAAUAACAGGGGCCCACAACCUUUAUUUCUGAACUUUACCCUUCAGGGAAAUGCUGAGCAAGAAACCAUCCCAGGUUUCAGAAGCAAACAGACUGGUCACUAUGGACAAGUCUCUCACCCUGACUAAGCUCCCACCUCUUCAAGUGCAAAAUAAGAUGACCUUGUUCUGGUGUCAGUAAGUCAGAGAAGGGAGCCUUUAACCCACUCCAAUUCGACUUGCACGUAUACUUUUCUUGCGCACACAGAAGACAACUCCAAGGAAUCUAUGAGACUUGCUUACGACAAUGGUACUGACAUUUUGGAGUGCAUUGGGGUCACUCAUGGCCGUCCCCCUUAGGAAUCGGGGGUCAGUAAGUCUCAACUCUGGGAUGUCUUUAACAAGUCUCCAGCGCCAAGGAAGGAAGCGAGGAAACCUGCAGCCAGGAGCCCUGGACACCCUUCCCCGCUCUCCUUUAGACUGUCGACCUGGAACGGCUCGCUCCCUGUUUCCGGCUUUGAGUUUUCCAGCUAGAGAAGUCAGGCUGGCACGCGAGCUUGAUGGUGAAACGCUGGGAGUUCUUCAGGCAGGUGAUACUGAA